This is a long non-coding RNA of Ipomoea nil (Japanese morning glory), 499 nucleotides long. RefSeq lists it as uncharacterized. NCBI's taxonomy places the organism in Eukaryota, Viridiplantae, Streptophyta, Magnoliopsida, Solanales, Convolvulaceae. The record is from RefSeq and is a predicted model, not a curated record. The transcript has 2 exons.
GCGAAUUAGACGGGUCUGUACGCGUAGGGUUAAAGCGAUGAAACUAUAGGGAAGCUGUCGCAUUGCACAAUCACAUUGAGAGAGAAACGAAAACACAGAAGCCGAGUAGGUGAAGAGGUGGGUGCGACUACACAAACGGCAGCUAUGGCGGACGGAACAUAUAGAAGAAGUAACCGGCGAGCAUCCAUUGAAGCAACGAGUAGACUCCUUGCAGCAAAAAAAACAAAAAAUCAAAGAAGUAACCACGAGAGGGUACAGUUUGGCAUAACACCGAUGACGAUUUUGUUGAUCCACCAGGGCAAGAAUCAAGACAGGAUAAUUGAUAUGGAGCUGGACACAAUAUGAAUUUACAGCCGAAGAAGUUGGAGGGGAUAUGAAUUUCUUUGCCAUAUGGGGUUUGUUAAACAUAUUAAUUAAAACUGUGGAAACGUAUUGCUUGGGAUAUGAAUUUAUUUUUUGUUGCACGGUCGGUUGUUUAACAAUGGUCUACAUAUUUUGG